ACCACCGCAAUGGCUACCCUGUAAGUAUAUAUUUAUAUAACACAAAGUUCCUCACUCUUUGACUGCUUGCUUCAAUGGCGCCUGAGAAACUGACAGAGUACGAGCGCAGGCGACUCGAGAAUAUUAAGCGAAAUGACGAGAUGAUGACCGCUCUCAUGAUCCAUUCCAAAGCAGCUGAACUAUCCGCCGCUACCGAUCGGAAAAGGUCUCUCGCUUUCUCCUCCAUCUUUGAAACGUGAGUUUGUCCAUUUGGUGCGUGCGUAUGUAAUGCAGAGUUUGCAAAUCGUAUAAAUCGAGUCCAGCGAAGAAACCAAAAAGCAACAAACCAGUAAUUGUUAGGCGGUCUUUGCGUGCAAGAGGCAUGCCGCUGAAUUCUAAUGGUUUAAGCGACGAAUCCGUUAGCAUGGUAGAUGCCUGCAGUGAAACUGGGACCCAGUUUUGUAUUUUGCGAGGCAAUUUUGUAUUUUGCGAAGAAAACACGAUUCGAUUUUUCAGUGAAAGGAGAGAAAUCCCAAUUAGGUGUUACGGUUAAAGAAGGAAAACCGCAAUUGGGAGCCUCAGCCGAAGGACAGAAGCCUGAAUUGGGUGUUUUAAUGGAAGAAGAGAACCCGGGAUUUGGUGUUUCCGUGAAAGAAGAAUUUGCUUGCAGAAGGCCCUUUAAACCCGAGAAAAUGAAUGGUUUGAGGGAAGAAACGGAUCAAAAGAGAAGUAAAUCUGGAAAUUGCCUUGAUUUGGGUUCCUUAAGUUUAAAACCACAGAAUAUAGCACGGGUGCUAUUGGGUAGGAUAAUGGUGGUCCUAUUUCAGGGAUUUUGAUUCAACAAUCUUCCUUAUCAAAGAUAUUCACCGGUUGCUAUGAUGGGUUUAUCCGGUUAAUGGAUGCUGAGAUGGAGAUAUUUGAGCUAGUACAUGUCAGUGAGCAGACUAUAUAUUCUCUCUCUCAACGACCAAGUGAUGUGAAGAGUCUAUACUUUGGCGAGGGGCCGGGAAGUUUGAACAUCUGGGAUCUCAGAACAGGAAAGUCCUCGGCCAAUUGGGAAUUGCAUGAUGGCAGGAUCAAUACUAUAGAUUUUAACUCACAGAACCCAUAUAUCAUGGCUACUAGUUCCUCAAAUGGGACUGCUUGCAUUUGGGACUUGAGAAAGAUGAAUUCAGUUAAUCCCAAAACAUUGAGGAGAAUGGAUCAUGAAAGAGUUGAACAUUCGGCAUACUUCUCACCUUCUGGAAGCUCCCUCGCAACAGCAAGGUAUCUACUGCUGCUGAGCCUUUGCUUUGCUUGCUGGGAAAAAAAAGCUUCAUUAGAUAGUUAUGACAACAAGAUUGGUAUUUUGAGUGGCAUCAAUUAUGGUGAUACUUCUAUGAUAGAUUAUCGCAAUCAGACGGGGAAGUUCUUCUUUUAAGUAAGCAUUGUGCCAAUAUAUACGUACUUUGAUAUGGAUUGUUCUUCAGAAUGUAUUCCUGUUUUCUGUGGUACAUUUGAUACUAGUCCAUACUCUGGAUUGUUUAAUUUUUGGUCACUUCCAGUGAGUUGAGAACUAGUUCUAUAUCUGUUUUGAAUAAUCAUAUAUGGUUUUAUACUACCAAGCUAUCAUUGCUAGAAUUAUCAGUCUUUUCAAUUGAAACUGGGUUUAGGUCUGCCAAUUUGAUAAAACAUAACUCAGAUAUAAAGGGAUCUGCCAAAACUUUAAACUCUGUAGACUUACAACUAGUUUAUUUUUUUGCCAACCCGUCUUACAUGCAUUCUUGCAGGCAAUGAUAUAAUCCUAAAAUGGAAGAUGCAUUGAGUUCAGUAUAUCAACAUUCCUUCUGUCAUUUUCUUUUGUAGAUUUACAGUAUUUUGUAAGAUGCAAACAAGCCAAGGAUGUUCUUUCUAACUCAUUUCUGUUUUCUUCGAGGGCGGUGGGAUAUGGGGUUAGGACGAUUCACACGUUUUCACUGGCAACAUGAGCAGAGGAAUUGAUGUAAUCUCUCCAACUCAAGGGACAACAGUUAUGACAUUGGAGAGUCCCCAUGUUACCUGGCCACCGCCUCUAGCCGGAGCCACAGACGGUGGCCAGGUGUAUAUGUGGACAUUGAAGUAGGAUGGUUGGUCAAAAAAAUCUAAAAGUUUUUCCAGUUGUAAUACAAAUUGACUCAAAGAACUUUCCCCCAAGAGUAGAAUCAGCAGUAGAUGUUCAGAGAUAUGCACCCUGCUGAAAAGGGUUGGUGGACAGUAGGGUUUUGAUUCUGAAUAUGGCGUGAGAAUGUUGAAAUUGAUUUAUUAGUUAUGGAGGAAUUUUGUACUCAGAUGCUUCUCUGGUAUGUGGAUUUGUUGAUUCACUAGGGUUGAGCAGAAGAUGAUCAUUGAACUUGAAAUUCCAUAAUAGUUUGUACAAUUUUGCUGUAAUGGGUAAUCUAUUGUAUGUUAGAACAUGUUUACUUGU
Molecule: non-coding RNA, 2422 nt
Organism: Carica papaya (papaya)
Lineage: Eukaryota; Viridiplantae; Streptophyta; Magnoliopsida; Brassicales; Caricaceae
Source: RefSeq, a predicted model, not a curated record